RNAcentral lists this transfer RNA (82 nucleotides) under Prevotella sp. E15-22. Its description in RNAcentral is "tRNA-Leu". It matches the Rfam family "tRNA". From Rfam's summary of the family: Transfer RNA (tRNA) molecules are approximately 80 nucleotides in length. Their secondary structure includes four short double-helical elements and three loops (D, anti-codon, and T loops). Lineage: Bacteria; Pseudomonadati; Bacteroidota; Bacteroidia; Bacteroidales; Prevotellaceae. The record is from RNAcentral.
GCGCCUGUGGCGGAAUUGGUAGACGCGCUAGACUUAGGAUCUAGUUUCUCGCGAAGUGCAGGUUCGAGUCCUGUCAGGCGCA